CGCGUAGGCGGUUUGCUAAGUCAGAUGUGAAAGCCCCGGGCUCAACCUGGGAAUUGCGUUUGAGACUGGCAGGCUAGAAUGUGGUAGAGGUGAGUGGAAUUCCAGGUGUAGCGGUGAAAUGCGUAGAGAUCUGGAGGAACAUCAGUGGCGAAGGCGACUCACUGAGCCAUUAUUGACGCUGAGGUGCGAAAGCGUGGGUAGCAAACA
RNAcentral lists this ribosomal RNA (207 nucleotides) under uncultured bacterium. Its description in RNAcentral is "partial 16S ribosomal RNA". It matches the Rfam family "Bacterial small subunit ribosomal RNA", at positions 568 to 774 of the family's 1533-position model. The record is from RNAcentral.